AAAGGAGUAGGGGCAAUAAGGCCCUUAUUUGGCCCAAAAAUUACUGCAAAUUUAAAAGUUAUCAUACAUAUUUUUAAAUUACUGAAAAGUAUCUCAGGUAGAAGGUAUAUAGAAAAACAAAAUAAUUUUGGACAUUGAACAAGUUACCCUGGCAACAAAUCAUGCCUUAAUUUGCAUAUUUUGUAAAUUUUUGUGAUUUUCCUUGUUUUUCAUCAACUUUUUAAGUAUAUUUUCGAUUGGAAAAGUAUGUGCGCACCCAAGAAACAACUUUAUACUUGGUGAGAUUUUGUCAAUAGUAAUAAUAAAGCUUCAGUUAAAUUAUUUUGUUGUUUCUUGGCUGCGCACGAUGUUUCCACAACAGAAAUAAAGAUAGAAAACUGCAUAAAUUCUGAAUUUUCAUCGUUUUUGUGAAAACAGUACAUAUUGUGACGUAAUUGUGACGUCAUCACAUAAGAAUCUUAAUGUUUUUCGUUUAUAUUUCUUGACCCUAUGCAUUUCUAAAGAUUAUGUGCCAAUUUGAAAAAGUUAUCAAACAUUUUAUUUUCUUGGGCCAAAACCAGGCCUUAAUGCCCC
Molecule: long non-coding RNA, 573 nt
Filed under: Mytilus galloprovincialis (Mediterranean mussel)
Lineage: Eukaryota; Metazoa; Mollusca; Bivalvia; Mytilida; Mytilidae
Source: RNAcentral